UGUACAUCUGUUUGCUGUGUGGGACUGAUCACCACCCCUUCCACGUUAGCAGUCAUGGAUCAUUUCUGCUGACAGAAGACAAACUACCUGGUGACCAGGUCAGCCCUAGUUCCUAGGCUUCUGAAUUCCCAGCAACACUGGUGUCAAGCUCCAGAUGGUUACUCAAGAGGUAACUCCCAUUCCCACAAUGGAUAAGGAUAACAUGUAGAAGUCAUGACAUGAAUUCGUAAAAUUUAUGCAGAUGUACAGCCUCCAGCUGCAUCACUUCCACCCUAGAGAGUCCUUGAUGGCCAGCAGUCAUCCCCCCAGAAAUAGCAAUACGAGCUGGGGUUCCUAGCAAAACACCACCACCAGCAACCACGAUCUCCCUUACUUUUGGAGCUCUCUUCUCAGGAAUGGUGAAGAUGUUUGUGCAUCAUUGUAUGGGGACUGUUAAGUCAUGGCCUGAAUCACUGAUGGAGCACCUGGGAAAAGGACACGGUCAGCCCUGGGAGUACAGGUGAAGGCAAUUCAUCUGUGUGACUGGAAGGGGUGGAGCCUGGCUGCACCUCUCUUAGACCUCAUUUAAGGGCAGACUGCCACUGUGGAAGGAUCUCUGGUUGGAGAUCUCUCCCUCGUGGAGUUUUUCCCCUUAGCCUAGUUCUUUGGCAACUGAUGAGCACUUUUAUAACACUAUUCCACCCCUUUGCUGUUAUACUCCUCUAUUGUCUUUCUACUGCGCUAACCUUUUUGAUUCUAACAAUCAUCCUUAAGGCUGAGCUGCACCACUCCUAUAGCUUCACCAAAUAGAUGAAGGUUUCACCUGGGAGGCCAUCAAUGGUCUAUGCCACACAGAAGUACUAGUAAAUGUCUACAAAAGUGACAGCAUCCCAUGAGUUUCCCUGUUAUGGUGAGUGAGAGCACUUCCUACAGGAGGAACUGGGAAGCAUCCAGGCCCUGUCUAGACAGGAGGAAAAGAGGUGAAAGGGGAACACUGAGAGAAGAAAAUGGAAGAAGCAGAAUAAGGCUGAGCUGUACCUGGCUGGAGGGUGCCUUGUAUACGCAUGCACAAGCAGUGGUAAAUGUGAGCUCCUCAUAGCAACCAUCUCUCUCCAGUGCAAGGGGACAGUAAUGGAGUUGGGAGCCUGCUCUCAGUGAGCAUGUAGAUGACUCAGCUUAUUUAUUCAGGCUGGAUUCUCCCAGUUUCUCUGGGAGAAGCCAGGUGUCCUAACAAACUAUUAGCUCAAACAAAUGUGCUUGCUCAGGGUCAUUGCUCAUUUCCAGGUCAGAUGCAGGGAGGCCAAAGACUUGGGAAGAUGCAGAGAAGCCAGGCUGCUUUCCAGUCUGAGCCUGAAAACAAGGGAGGGCAAGAAAAAAAUGAAUGCCGAUUGCUUUCAAACAGUUCAGAUCAUCAGCAAAGGAAAGCUGCUCUUCGACUUUCUGCUGCAGCUUGAAGGACUUAAAGAGGCUCUCCCAGCACCCCCAUCUAAAGUCUGUAGGAGUAGUGAUGAUCCCUAGACAGGAUGCAGCUUCAUAAGAUGAACCCCCCAAACAUUAGACUGCAACUGUAAGGACCUGGCUUCAUCACCAGGCCUUUGGAGUACUGGAGGAGCCCUAUAACGGUGUCAAAUGGAACUUCAACAGUCAGUGGAGGGAAGGUUACUGGUUUUUGCCCUUUAUCAUCUUGUCCCAGUCAGUCUCACGUAACCUUGUCAGAGACACUAAGUACCUCCAGCUGCCAUUCAAGCAUGUCUGCACAUCAGGGCAGCAAUGCUCUUUUCAAAGUGGUUAUUUGACCAGAAGUCAAUAUUAGAGCACAUAAGGAAACAGGGAAAGCAAAUGAUGCCAGCCAAAUGGAGCACUAAGAGAGCAUCAUUUCACAGAGCUCAGUACCUCACUAUGCAUCCAAGUUUUAAAAUGGUACCAAAUACCACCCUAUCAGGACAGCAUGAUUUUAUGCCCUUUGGGUACUACUGAGAAUGAUGAAACAGGAGAAACACAGCUGUGUGGAAGGGUGGAUUGCAGAAAAUAACUGUUUUCUUUUCUCCUCCUUUUUGUCUCUACCUCCCUGUUUCUGUGGGUAGGAGUGAGGACUUGAAGGUCUCUGCUCUUAUCCAUGUGCUAGAUCCUCCUAUGCAGCAUCUCUCCCAGAACAAAGGUCAUCCCCCAAGGAUAAGCGGAACAGCCACAGAUAGAUAACACUUCUGAUCUCCAGCCUUGUGCUGAGAAGAUGAAUUAUCUACCUCUAAGCAUGAUUUCUGUUUCACACUGCAGGCGCAGUUUAGGUGACAAUACAGUAGCAGUUAAGUUAUUCCAUUUGGGAAAAGGAGGGACAGAGAAAAUGCCACACGCAGUAAGUUAUGGCACAUGACCUGCAGCAGCAAGUAUCUGGAACAUUUGUUACUCUGUUCUCAUUCCUUAAGAAGCUCAUACUUCACAACUAAAUCAGUAACAGUGUGUACCAAUUUUAUCUUGUGCCUCGUGUGAAUAACAAUAAAAAUACUAAUAUCUUUUAUUUCCACUGCUUAUCGGCUCCACUGAGGCCAUAUUACAUCCAGGUUCUCUUUGCAGCAUCAUUUGAAUGGCUGUAAGGAGAACAUAAAACUGACAUCCAAGCCAUCUGCUCAUCAGUGUUUCCCCUUCUUUACUCUUCUUUUGCAUAGAAAAAUUAUCCAGCUGUCUAUCUGUACACGUGGAUGUAUGUGAUCUCAAACAUUUAAGGAUUCAUGAUAUUCCUUCUGCUGCCAAAAAGUUCCCGUGCGCAUCACCCGGUUACACAUUAUCCUUCUCUGCAACAGAAAAACUGUGCAUCCUGGGAGAGUUAGAUCAUGGGAUUUAAACUAGUAAGUGCUGAUGCAAGUUAUGUAAAACAUUUAUCUUCUUCUGAUUACAUGUUUUUGGAUUUCAACACAGAAAUCUGCAAUAAAGCAUUCUUAGAUGGUAUUUAGUCCUUUAGCCAAAGCUAGAAUAAACAGGGAU
Molecule: long non-coding RNA, 2958 nt
Organism: Gallus gallus (chicken)
Lineage: Eukaryota; Metazoa; Chordata; Aves; Galliformes; Phasianidae
Source: Ensembl